RNAcentral lists this ribosomal RNA (320 nucleotides) under uncultured bacterium. RNAcentral's name for it is "bacterial SSU rRNA". It matches the Rfam family "Bacterial small subunit ribosomal RNA", at positions 28 to 351 of the family's 1533-position model. The record is from RNAcentral.
GAUGAACGCUGGCGGCGUGCUUAACACAUGCAAGUCGAACGGUGAGAGAGAGCUUGCUCUCUGGAUCAGUGGCGAACGGGUGAGUAACACGUGAGCAAUCUGCCCUGACUCUGGGAUAACAGCUGGAAACAGCUGCUAAUACCGGAUACGAGUUGCGAAGGCAUCUUCAGCAGCUGGAAAGAAUUUCGGUCAGGGAUGAGCUCGCGGCCUAUCAGAUUGUUGGUGAGGUAAUGGCUCACCAAGGCGUCGACGGUAGCCGGCCUGAGAGGGUGACCGGCCACACGUGGGACUGAGACACGGCCAGACUCCGACGGGAGCAG